AUUAAACGCUGGCGGCAUGCCUUACACAUGCAAGUCGAACGGCAGCACAGCAGUAGCAAUACUGUGGGUGGCGAGUGGCGGACGGGUGAGGAAUACGUCGGAAUCUGCCCAGUCGUGGGGGAUAACUAGCCGAAAGGCUAGCUAAUACCGCAUACGACCGAGAGGUGAAAGCGGGGGACCGCAAGGCCUCGCGCGAUUGGAUGAGCCGACGUCGGAUUAGCUAGUUGGCGGGUAAGGCCCACCAAGGCGACGAUCCGUAGCUGGUCUGAGAGGAUGAUCAGCCACACUGGAACUGAGACACGGUCCAGACUCCUACGGGAGGCAGCAGUGGGGAAUAUUGGACAAUGGGCGCAAGCCUGAUCCAGCAAUGCCGCGUGUGUGAAGAAGGCCUUCGGGUUGUAAAGGCACUUUUAUCUAGGAACGAAAGACGUUGGAGUUAAUACUCUGACGUGCUGACGGUACCUGAGGAAUAAGCACCGGCUAACUUCGUGCCAG
Molecule: ribosomal RNA, 495 nt
Filed under: uncultured bacterium
Lineage: Bacteria
Description: bacterial SSU rRNA
Rfam family: Bacterial small subunit ribosomal RNA
Source: RNAcentral